This 198-nucleotide non-coding RNA is filed under the name Ditylum brightwellii. The record is from RNAcentral. Lineage: Eukaryota; Bacillariophyta; Thalassiosirophyceae; Lithodesmiales; Lithodesmiaceae.
AAUCUUCUUGGGGAAAUUCCCCGGACGCAAGGGCAGAGAGUGCCAACCGGAAACGGGAAUCCUGGCGCGGAUGCUGCUUUCCCGAUAGCGAAGACGGCCAUCUUCGGGUGGCAAGAGCUCCCAAUGGAGAGACGGCUCCGUCACAUAGCCACCGUCUUAGCAAAGUUAUGCCAUAAUUUAACACAACGGGGGUCACUA